UACGUAGGGUGCAAGCGUUAAUCGGAAUUACUGGGCGUAAAGCGUGCGCAGGCGGUUAUGCAAGACAGAUGUGAAAUCCCCGGGCUCAACCUGGGAACUGCAUUUGUGACUGCAUAGCUGGAGUGCGGCAGAGGGGGAUGGAAUUCCGCGUGUAGCAGUGAAAUGCGUAGAUAUGCGGAGGAACACCGGUGGCGAAGGCGGCAUCCUGGACCAAUAUUGACGCUGAGGAGCGAAAGCUAGGGGAGCAAACGGG
Molecule: ribosomal RNA, 253 nt
Filed under: uncultured bacterium
Lineage: Bacteria
Description: partial 16S ribosomal RNA
Rfam family: Bacterial small subunit ribosomal RNA
Source: RNAcentral